CUAUGACGGCCGCUGUGGCUGUUGUUGUUUGGGGCUGCAAUUAGAAAGUGCUGAGGCGGCAGUGGAGUCAGAACCCAUUCUGGAAGAGUAACUCCCGCCCCCGGGCCAGAGAGGGUUCCCCAGCCCCUGGAAAGACAGGACACCCCUUAGGCUGUCCCAGCACGCCUCAGCCUCGGGUCCCGAGCCAAGAUCUCUCUGUGCUGCCUGGGACUCCAGACUGAGGGCCAAACCCAGACCACUCCCUCCGCCCUCAGUUGGCCAUAAUUGUCAGGGUGCCCUCCCAAACCGCAUCUCCUCCAGACAGCGGACCACAGAACCGUCUCUGACCGAACUGCCUUGCCCAGGAGACAGGAAUGAAAUCCAGCUUAGAGGACUGUCCCUGUUGAAGUAAGCCCCAGAGUCAAGUAGAACCAGAAAGAAGUUUGGGGAUUUGACUUUCAUGCUUUAAGAGCAGCAGAACUUGAGAAAUGUAUUCCUUAGAUCUUGGGGGGGAUGCCGAAUAACCCCCAUUCAGGAGGAUUUCUUCGCCAAAGGACAAAAUACAGAAAUUCCUGAGGACUGUGAUUCUUAAGAAUGGGAAGGCCUGAAAAAGCUGGUCAGUGGCAACUGAAGCUUAGACUUGGUUCUGGAAACAGUUACAGGAAGCGUGCAGCAACAGAUUGUAAAUAAAACCAGAUGAAGAAACAGGAGUAGUGUCAAGAUGACCAUGUGAAAGCAACUCGUGAACAGAAGGUGAAGUUUGAAGAUAAGGCACAACUGAGGGUCCCAGGACUUUGAAUUUUCUUUAAAUAUCACGACCUGAAUUUAAAUUGCCUUUUUUUAGGGGAAUACAAAAGGGGUAUCAUUGGAUGGAAUUAAAAACAAGCCAUUAGCCUGA
Sciurus carolinensis (gray squirrel) is the source of this 877-nucleotide long non-coding RNA. RefSeq lists it as uncharacterized. The transcript is spliced from 2 exons. Lineage: Eukaryota; Metazoa; Chordata; Mammalia; Rodentia; Sciuridae. The record is from RefSeq and is a predicted model, not a curated record.